This 60-nucleotide transfer RNA is filed under the name Zootermopsis nevadensis. It matches the Rfam family "tRNA", at positions 7 to 64 of the family's 71-position model. From Rfam's summary of the family: Transfer RNA (tRNA) molecules are approximately 80 nucleotides in length. Their secondary structure includes four short double-helical elements and three loops (D, anti-codon, and T loops). Lineage: Eukaryota; Metazoa; Arthropoda; Insecta; Blattodea; Termopsidae. The record is from Rfam by way of RNAcentral.
GUGGUCUAGCGGUUAGAACGCUGGCCUUGUAAUCCUGGGGUCUCGGGUUCGAUUCCUGAC